This is a long non-coding RNA of Denticeps clupeoides (denticle herring), 1719 nucleotides long. Lineage: Eukaryota; Metazoa; Chordata; Actinopteri; Clupeiformes; Denticipitidae. The record is from Ensembl.
AUGGUAGUAUACAUUAAUAUAUUUCUAAAGAAAGUACGUGUUUAUAGGAUAACGGGGUCUAUUAAGCCUUCUGUGAGGAGGAGGUUGAGGCAGAAUCUCUCGUCGCGAACACGGCCAGCAGCGUCCGCGUGUGCCGGAGCAGGACAGUCGCGAACACGCCGCCUCCAGCAGCUUCUGCUGCGUGUGCCGGAGAAGGACAGUCGCGAACACGCCGCCUCCAGCAGCUUCUGCUGCGUGUGCCGGAGAAGGACAGUCGCGAACACGCCGCCUCCAGCAGCUUCUGCUGCGAGUGCCGGAGCAGGACAGUCGCGAACACGCCGCCUCCAGCAGCUUCUGCUGCGUGUGCCGGAGAAGGACAGUCGCGAACACGCCGCCUCCAGCAGCUUCUGCUGCGAGUGCCGGAGCAGGACAGUCGCGAACACGCCGCCUCCAGCAGCUUCUGCGACGUGUGCCGGAGAAGGACAGUCGCGAACACGCCGCCUCCAGCAGCUUCUGCUGCGUGUGCCGGAGAAGGACAGUCGCGAACACGCCGCCUCCAGCAGCUUCUGCUGCGAGUGCCGGAGCAGGACAGUCGCGAACACGCCGCCUCCAGCAGCUUCUGCGACGUGUGCCGGAGAAGGACAGUCGCGAACACGCCGCCUCCAGCAGCUUCUGCGACGUGUGCCGGAGAAGGACAGUCGCGAACACGCCGCCUCCAGCAGCUUCUGCGACGUGUGCCGGAGAAGGACAGUCGCGAACACGCCGCCUCCAGCAGCUUCUGCUGCGAGUGCAGGAGCAGGACAGUCGCGAACACGCCGCCUCCAGCAGCUUCUGCUGCGUGUGCCGGAGAAGGACAGUCGCGAACACGCCGCCUCCAGCAGCUUCUGCGACGUGUGCCGGAGAAGGACAGUCGCGAACACGCCGCCUCCAGCAGCUUCUGCUGCGAGUGCAGGAGCAGGACAGUCGCGAACACGCCGCCUCCAGCAGCUUCUGCUGCGUGUGCCGGAGCAGGACAGUCGCGAACACGCCGCCUCCAGCAGCUUCUGCUGCGUGUGCCGGAGCAGGACAGUCGCGAACACGCCGCCUCCAGCAGCUUCUGCUGCGUGUGCCGGAGAAGGACAGUCGCGAACACGCCACAUCCAGCAGCUUCUGCUGCGUGUGCCGGAGAAGGACAGUCGCGAACACGCCGCCUCCAGCAGCUUCUGCUGCGAGUGCAGGAGCAGGACAGUCGCGAACACGCCGCCUCCAGCAGCUUCUGCGACGUGUGCCGGAGAAGGACAGUCGCGAACACGCCGCCUCCAGCAGCUUCUGCUGCGAGUGCAGGAGCAGGACAGUCGCGAACACGCCGCCUCCAGCAGCUUCUGCUGCGUGUGCCGGAGCAGGACAGUCGCGAACACGCCGCCUCCAGCAGCUUCUGCUGCGUGUGCCGGAGCAGGACAGUCGCGAACACGCCGCCUCCAGCAGCUUCUGCUGCGUGUGCCGGAGAAGGACAGUCGCGAACACGCCACAUCCAGCAGCUUCUGCUGCGUGUGCCGGAGAAGGACAGUCGCGAACACGCCGCCUCCAGCAGCUUCUGCUGCGAGUGCAGGAGCAGGACAGUCGCGAACACGCCGCCUCCAGCAGCUUCUGCGACGUGUGCCGGAGAAGGACAGUCGACUGUUUGUGGGGAGACGCGUCUGGAGUCGGGCAGCAGCGGCAGGUAGCGCGUCCGUGUCGCUGUUAUCAGCCUCCGCAGCAUGA